This 793-nucleotide ribosomal RNA is filed under the name uncultured archaeon. Its description in RNAcentral is "bacterial SSU rRNA". It matches the Rfam family "Archaeal small subunit ribosomal RNA", at positions 85 to 879 of the family's 1478-position model. The record is from RNAcentral.
ACGGCUCAGUAACACGUGGACAACCUGCCCAAAGGUCCGGGAUAACCCCGGGAAACUGGGGAUAAUACCGGAUAAAUCACAAGUACUGGAAGGUUUUGUGGUUGAAACUUCCGGGGCCUUUGGAUGGGUCUGCGGCGGAUUAGGUUGUUGCCGGUGUAACGUACCGUCAAGCCUGUAAUCCGUACGGGUUGUGGGAGCAAGAGCCCGGAGAUGGAUUCUGAGACACGAAUCCAGGCCCUACGGGGCGCAGCAGGCGCGAAAACUCUACAAUGCAGGCAACUGCGAUAGGGGAACAUCGAGUGAUACUCAUCUUGGGUGUCUGUCCUCCCGUCUAAAAAACGGGAGUUAGCAAGGGCCGGGCAAGACCGGUGCCAGCCGCCGCGGUAAUACCGGCGGCUCGAGUGGUGGCCGAUAUUAUUGAGUCUAAAGGGUCCGUAGCCGGCUUUGCAAGUCUUUUGGGAAAUCCAGCGGCUUAACCGUUGGGCGUCCGGGAGAUACUACAUUGCUUGGGACUGGGAGAGGUAGGAGGUACUCAGGGGGUAGGAGUGAAAUCCUGUAAUCCUUUGGGGACCACCGGUGGCGAAGGCGUCCUACCAGAACAGGUCCGACGGUGAGGGACGAAAGCUAGGGGCACGAACCGGAUUAGAUACCCGGGUAGUCCUAGCCGUAAACGAUGCUCGCUAGGUGUCACAACAAUCGUGAAUUGUUGUGGUGCCGUAGGGAAGCCGUGAAGCGAGCCACUUGGGAAGUACGACCGCAAGGUUGAAACUUAAAGGAAUUGGCGGGGGAGCAC